AGAAUCAACGCUGGCGGCGUGCCUAACACAUGCAAGUCGAACGAGAAAGUGGAGCAAUCCAUGAGUAAAGUGGCGACCGGGUGAGUAACACGUGACUAACCUACCUUCGAGUGGGGGAUAACCUCGGGAAACCGAGGCUAAUACCGCAUAACAUCGCAAGAUCAAAGCAGCAAUGCGCUGGAAGAGGGGGUCGCGGCUGAUUAGCUAGUUGGCGGGGUAAUGGCCCACCAAGGCGAAGAUCGGUAGCCGGCCUGAGAGGGCGCACGGCCGACACUGGAACUGAAACACGGUCCAGACUCCUACGGGAGGCAGCAGUGGGGAAUUUUGCGCAAUGGGGGAAACCCUGACGCAGCAACGCCGCGUGGAGGAUGAAGCCCCUUGGGGUGUAAACUCCUUUCGACCAAGACGAUAAUGACGGUACUGGUGGAAGAAGCACCGGCUAACUCUGUGCCAGCAGCCGC
This 461-nucleotide ribosomal RNA is filed under the name uncultured bacterium. RNAcentral describes it as "SSU rRNA". It matches the Rfam family "Bacterial small subunit ribosomal RNA", at positions 26 to 518 of the family's 1533-position model. The record is from RNAcentral.